Molecule: long non-coding RNA, 1236 nt
Organism: Phyllostomus discolor (pale spear-nosed bat)
Lineage: Eukaryota; Metazoa; Chordata; Mammalia; Chiroptera; Phyllostomidae
Exons: 3
Source: RefSeq, a predicted model, not a curated record
CAAUGACUUUAGCACGUUCACUCAUGUUGAUUUUCCUCCGAAGCUUUACUUCAUGGCAAAGCUGGUACAAAGCUGGAACUCUAAAAGAAAUAUGUAUUUGUAUGAUAAGGGAAGCACAGCACUAGCAUUCAGGGAUUGAAGAGCAUCCACUGAGAAUAUUCUAGUUAUCUGUGACUCUUCCUAACUGGACGAGUGGCUCCCUUGGGAGCCACGGACUCAAGUGUUUGGGUUUCUGACUGGAGCUGUGGAUUCUGAUUUGACCCAGAUUGUCUUCUGGCGGAUCCAACCUGAGUCUCUGGGUGGAGGAAUUCAGAGAGAGGGCAGAACACCUGUUCCAAAGAACACGGGGAUGAGCAGUGGAUCCUCCUUUCAAUCUCUAAUCAUACACUGCACGCCUGCCUCCUCAUCUCUAUUUUAGAGGAAAGGUUUAAUAGCUACUCUUUCUAAUUUUUUCUUGGUGCAUGCCAAUUUGUAUUUUAUUCACUACCAAUUACAUGGCUGUCAAUAAGAAAAAAAUAUUUGCACUAUAAACACAUAAAGCACCUGCUCUGAUUGCCUCUGAAUAAAGGCCAAGGAGCCUGUUAAAACAAUCACUUGGGCGAUGUGCACAAAACCAUGUAAGUCAAUACCAUCGAUGUUUCCAGAACAAAGCAAGACAAGCAUAAAUAGUUUUCAGCUGGAACAGGCUUGAAUGUACAUCAAUGUAAAUGCUCAAAGGAAUAUUAUAGACUCAACAGCCGAAGGGAAGGUUAAUGGGGAUGAAAUGACUAUUUGUGUCAGAGUCACGGCAUGCCAGUUCUGGUUACCUCUUUUCUAAUACGUGUGCCACCACACGUGGCACAACCGACCAGGAUAAAUAUCAGGUCCACUGCCAUUUUCUGUGUGAGAUACGACACUCCUUUUGAGUUUACUGUAUUAUCUAACAUGUAAUUUCCUUUGCAGACAUUAUUCACAAGUCAUCACAGGAAAGAUCUGCAUUUUAAUGCUCAAUUGUAGUUUUGCUAAUUUGUUUCACCAAUUAUGUCUUUCUUACAUUUUCCUCCUGGACACAGUAUUUGAAAACUCAUGAAAAAAUGCAUACUUCAUUUUUUACUCCAAGGCAUUCUAGUCAGAAAAUAAUAAACUGAUAUGCUUUAGAGUGACCUUUGCAGUUCUUAAUUUUCAUGCAAGGCUACAAAAUAAGCCUAGUCCGUGUGAUACCACUGGGUAAGGUUACUCUAUUUUUGGUAUGGUAAA